GUUGCCAGCCGCCGCGGUAAUACCGGCAGCCCAAGUGAUGGCCGCUGUUAUUGGGCCUAAAGCGUCCGUAGCUGGCCGCACAAGUCCGUCGGGAAAUCCGCCCGCUCAACGGGCGGCCGUCCGGCGGAACCUGUGUGGCUUGGGACCGGGAGGCCUGAGGGGUACGAUCGGGGUAGGAGUGAAAUCCUGUGAUCCCGCUCGGACCGCCGAUGGGGAAACCACCUCAGGAGUACGGAUCCGACGGUGAGGGACGAAAGCCAGGGUCUCGAACCGGAUUAGAUACCCGUGUAGUCC
Molecule: ribosomal RNA, 294 nt
Filed under: uncultured bacterium
Lineage: Bacteria
Description: partial 16S ribosomal RNA
Rfam family: Archaeal small subunit ribosomal RNA
Source: RNAcentral